CGCACAUUGCGCCCUUUGGCAUUCCGAGGGGCAUGCCCGUUCGAGCGUCAUUAAAUCCAAUCAAGCCCGGCUUGGUAUUGGGCGUCGGGGUCCCCCCGCGCCCUAAUUUCGCCGGCUGGCCGUCGCCCGUCUUAGCGUUGUGACACACUUCUCGCUUGUGGCAGGGGCGGGCACGCCGUUAUAAUUCACGGAUUUCGGUCGAAGUCCAUCAAAGGUUGACCUCGGAUCGGGUAGGAAUACCCGCUGAACUUAA
RNAcentral lists this unclassified non-coding RNA (253 nucleotides) under Capnodiales sp. RNAcentral's name for it is "partial contains 5.8S ribosomal RNA, internal transcribed spacer 2, and large subunit ribosomal RNA". Lineage: Eukaryota; Fungi; Ascomycota; Dothideomycetes; Capnodiales. The record is from RNAcentral.